Molecule: ribosomal RNA, 255 nt
Filed under: uncultured bacterium
Lineage: Bacteria
Description: partial 16S ribosomal RNA
Rfam family: Bacterial small subunit ribosomal RNA
Source: RNAcentral
UACGGAGGGUGCAAGCGUUGUCCGGAUUUAUUGGGUUUAAAGGGUGCGUAGGCGGCCCCUGUAAGUCAGUGGUGAAAAUACUGCAGCUUAACUGUAGCAUUGCCAUUGAUACUGUAGGGCUUGAGUACAGAUGAGGUAGGCGGAAUUGAUGGUGUAGCGGUGAAAUGCAUAGAUACCAUCAAGAACACCGAUUGCGAAGGCAGCUUACUAAGCUGUAACUGACGCUGAGGCACGAAAGCGUGGGGAUCGAACAGG